RNAcentral lists this ribosomal RNA (253 nucleotides) under uncultured bacterium. Its description in RNAcentral is "partial 16S ribosomal RNA". It matches the Rfam family "Bacterial small subunit ribosomal RNA", at positions 524 to 776 of the family's 1533-position model. The record is from RNAcentral.
UACGAAGGGGGCUAGCGUUGCUCGGAAUCACUGGGCGUAAAGCGCACGUAGGCGGCUUUCUAAGUCAGGGGUGAAAUCCUGGAGCUCAACUCCAGAACUGCCUUUGAUACUGGAAAGCUUGAGUUCGGGAGAGGUGAGUGGAAUUGCGAGUGUAGAGGUGAAAUUCGUAGAUAUUCGCAGGAACACCAGUGGCGAAGGCGGCUCACUGGUCCGAUACUGACGCUGAGGUGCGAAAGCGUGGGGAGCAAACAGG